UAGGGAAUCUUCGGCAAUGGACGAAAGUCUGACCGAGCAACGCCGCGUGAGUGAAGAAGGUUUUCGGAUCGUAAAACUCUUUUGUUAGAGAAGAACAAGGACGUUAGUAACUGAACGUCCCCUGACGGUAUCAAACCAGAAAGCCACGGCUAACUACGUGCCAGCAGCCGCGGUAAUACGUAGGUGGCAAGCGUUGUCCGGCUUUAUUGGGCGUAAAGCGAGCGCUGGCGGUUUCUUAAGUCUGAUGUGAAAGCCCCCGGCUCAACCGGGGAGGGUCAUUGGAAACUGGGAGACUUGAGUGCAGAAGAGGAGAGUGGAAUUCCAUGUGUAGCGGUGAAAUGCGUAGAUAUAUGGAGGAACACCAGUGGCGAAGGCGGCUCUCUGGUCUGUAACUGACACUGAGGCUCGAAAGCGUGGGGAGCAAACAGG
Molecule: ribosomal RNA, 429 nt
Filed under: Gemmatimonadota bacterium
Lineage: Bacteria; Pseudomonadati; Gemmatimonadota
Description: Gemmatimonadetes bacterium partial 16S ribosomal RNA
Rfam family: Bacterial small subunit ribosomal RNA
Source: RNAcentral